RNAcentral lists this ribosomal RNA (468 nucleotides) under uncultured bacterium. RNAcentral describes it as "partial 16S ribosomal RNA". It matches the Rfam family "Bacterial small subunit ribosomal RNA", at positions 28 to 507 of the family's 1533-position model. The record is from RNAcentral.
GACGAACGCUGGCGGCGUGCUUAACACAUGCAAGUCGAACGGAAAGGCCCUGCUUUUGUGGGGUGCCCGAGUGGCGAACGGGUGAGUAACACGUGAGUAACCUGCUCUUGACUUUGGGAUAACUUCAGGAAACUGGGGCUAAUACCGGAUAGCAGCUCCUGCUGCAUGGUGGGGGGUGGAACGUUUCGGCGGUUGGGGAUGGACUCGCGGCUUAUCAGUUUGUUGGUGGGGUAGUGGCUUACCAAGGCUUUGACGGGUAGCCGGCCUGGGAGGGUGACCGGCCACAUUGGGACUGAGAUACGGACCAGACUCCUACGGGAGGCAGCAGUGGGGAAUAUUGCACAAUGGGCGGAAGCCUGAUGCAGCAACGCCGCGUGCGGGAUGACGGCCUGCGGGUUGUAAACCGCUUUCGCCUGUGACGAAGCGUGAGUGACGGUAAUGGGUAAAGAAGCACCGGCUAACUACGUG